RNA transcript from Loxodonta africana (African savanna elephant), 12269 nucleotides. It is a transcript of the gene named LBH regulator of WNT signaling pathway, with no coding region annotated. The record is from RefSeq and is a predicted model, not a curated record. The transcript is spliced from 2 exons. NCBI's taxonomy places the organism in Eukaryota, Metazoa, Chordata, Mammalia, Proboscidea, Elephantidae.
GAUCAGAUUGCCAGGGUGGGGAAUUUGUUUCUUCUGCCUACCCUGCCCACUGGAUAGACACCAGGAUUCCUGGUCUUUACUGCAGGAACCAACACUUUUGUAUUCAGUUUAUAGUUUAGCUAUUAAAACAAACAGACAAAACCACAGAGGUUACGGUAAAUGUACUAUUGUGGGGAAAACAUAGACUUCGGAGCCAGUAAGCCCCAGAGUCAGAUUUUGGUUCAGCAAUUUAAGAACCAUGUGGCCAUGGCCAAGUUGCUUAACUUCUCAGAGCCUCUAUUUCUUCAUUUGUAAAAUGGGGGCAAUAAUACCUAUGUCUUUAGGUUGUUGUGAGAAAUAAAUAGAUACAAGUAUACUUCAACAAAUGUUGCCCUUUCCCUUGCCUAUCUUUCUUCCCUAAGGUCAAACAGCUACUUCACUGAAGUUCCUUACUGCUAACCAACAAGUCCUCCACUACUAACUUAAAGGUUCGCAAUUUGAGCCCACCCAGAGACACCUCAGAAGAAAGGCCUGGUGAUUUGUUUCUGAAAGGUCACAACCACAAAAACCCUAUGGAGCACAGUUCUGCUCUGUGCACAUGGAAUCGCCAUGAAUUCAAAUCGCCUCAAGGGCAACUUUUUUUUAAAAUACUAACCAAAGUACCAGCUUCAUGGCAACCCAGGCAAAUUAAAUGUAAUACUUUUUUUUUUUUUAACAAGCAAAAGGAGAGGUAGAAUGUUGGGAAUAUGUUGCUAAAUGAAUUUAAAUGUAGACUUUUUUUACUAGAUGAAUAAUUAGACACAUAUCCCUUGUACCGUGGCAUGCUUGUGACCAUGGUUAACUCUAACAGGACCUUAAGUUCAUUAUCUCUUUUUAAAAAGUUAUUUUAGGUGGGAGAGAGAAGGAGCUUGAAAAUUGGACAUACCUAAUGUUGGAAAGGAAGACAGUGGUUUUGGGAAUGUUGGAAAGGAAGACAACUCUAAUUACACUAUUAAAUUCCAGGAUUUUUAUCAAAGCAGGAUCAUAAAUCAGCCCCUUAAUUCCUGGGGACAAAGGUGAGAGAAGGGGGGGAGUGCAGAAGGCUCUGACUGGGUGUUUACUGCUCUGCACAUAGUAGGUGGUCAAUAAAAGCUGGUGAUAGAUUGAGGCUGUUUAGAGAGUCCAGGUCUAGUUUGACCUUUGCUGCUAACUUCUUGGCAAAUGUGGUGCAAGACAUCGUGUUGGAGGGAAAAGAACAUUUGACUAGGCACUGAAGGCCUGUGUUCAAGUUCCAUCUAUACCACUUAACAGUCUGGCAGCCCUGGAUGUGACACUUAAUCUCUUAAGAGUCUUCUCACCUGUGAAAUGAGGAGACUGAACUAGGUGAUUUAGAAGGUCCUUUUCAGCUCUUGAGGUUCUGGGACUCUAAGUAACUUCAUUCGCUUAUGUUUACAUUUCAUUUACAGGGAUAGAAACCUGUCUUACAGGGCAUUGGUAAGAAACGGUCAGUCUGCAUGUUGAAAUGCCCUGCAUCUCUAGAGAAAGGAAGAAAACGCAGUGGCCCAAAGCAGUGUAGCAGAGUGGAACAUUCUGCUACAGAGCGGACUGGUGAGUCUGUCUCCAAGCUCUCGAGUUCCAGCCACUUAGUAGCUGUGUGAUAUAUGUCAAGUUCCCUGAUGUGUUUCAGUCUCAGUUUGCAUAUCUUUAAACUGGGGACUGUAAGUUGUGAAAAUGCUUUGAAAAUCUGCAAUACACUAUAUAAACAAAGUAUUAUUGAGAAAUGGCAUGCAAAUAAUUUACUUGUUACAGUUUUAUCUAAGUUUUGUACCAUGUUUCCUAGUAUUUUCAAAUGAAUGGUUGUAUCACCUUAGUCCCAGAGGAGAGAUUCACUUUCCACUCCAAUUUACGGACAGAGGUGAUGUUAAGUCACAACGGGCAUUACUAAAAAGCCUACCAAAGCUACCGCCCAGUCAGCCUCGCAGCUUUUGAGGGCCUCAAACCUGGGUCUCCCACGUGGAAGGUGAGACUUCUAUCACUGAACCACCACUACCCUCCACCAUAGACAUCAAGUAGUUACCCCAAUGUUCCACAGUCUAGGGAUUUUUUUUUCCAGAGACCAGACACCAGCUGGUGGAAGCUUUAAUUCUCCAAAAGAUAGCAUCUUGCCGCUUCGGGUGUGUAUGUCAGGAGUAGGGAGGCUAUGGAGUUAGUUUUCUGAGAGUUUUGAAAGUUCCAGUAUUCCAAGGCAAUAAUAACAAAUGUGUAAAGUGUUGGAAUGCAGAACCUGAGAUGGCCUUUCAUCCUCCCACCUGCCAGGGAUUGCUACUCUGGGGAGAAAUGGCCUUGCUCACCCAGGGCCUUCUUAGCUCGAAGUUCAAAGUAAGAUCCCAGCCUGUAAACCGGAUCUCCCAGCCUCAGCUUCCUCUUUGGCUACAUGCAUGGCAACAUGCCAUACCCAGUUGGUGACUGAAAAGUCUCCCCCUUCUGUGCAGAGGGCACAAACAGCCCCCACUGUUAGCUGUGACCCCACACCCAGGGCAUCUCCCAUCAGCUCCUGCGAAUAAAGCAUUGCCCUCUGCCAGGCCACCACCACCACCACCAGAGGAGCAGAAUGGAGUUGGGGCUAUGCAGCAGAAAUCAAUUUCUGGUUUAUCUUGUGGGGGCUGGGGAGACGAUCUGGAAUUUGUCUAUAGAAGGAGCUUAGGGGUACUGAUCUGUUUGGAAUGGGCAGCUAGGGGGCUUGUCUUGGAGCUGCAUUUCAUAAGGUGCACACUGUUUUUUAAGAUGUAUAUGUGCAUGGUUAAAAAUAGCAAAGUUGUUUCAAAUUUAAUUAUUCUUAUAAAUUCUUAUAGAUCAUUUUUAUUUGGGUUGAUUUGGGGAUGAAAGUUAUGAGUUUUAAGGGUCAGCCCCCUCAUGGCCCUGCCACUGUUAACCCUCACCAUUAAUCUCAUCAACUUUUUAUGAUUUCCACUUUUUAAGCACACAUAUCCAUUGAUUCAAUACAUCCAUUGCCUUUCUUCCAAAGAACUGAUUGACUUUAGAGCAGGUUAAUUUUGUUUAGUUUUUGAUAGUCCCCUCCUUCCCCCAUCCACUACACACACACGUCAGAGUUAUAAAGUCAUUUUACAGGAGAAAUUGAAGGAGAGGCGUGAAGCGACGCGCUCCAGCCACAGAGCGGCAGCGCUGGGUACCGAGUCAGGUUUCCUUCCAGGCUCUGGCGGCUCGCAGCCUAAUUGCCCGGACAGACUUACGGAGCUAAAAUUCCUGGGCAGUGUGGGGGUUCAGCUGAAUUGCCAGCUCUUUGUUUCUUCUGUCAUAGGUCGACUCCUUGGGACGGAUCUGAGAACCAAGGCUGGUGGCGUGUGCUCGCGCGCUGCCGACCCUCACCCCCUCACGCCUCUGCCAGCCCUGUGUGCACGUAUGUGUCCAGUGAAAAAACCCUAGUACGACACUACAUCCUUUCUCCCACAAAUAAAGCCCUCCAAGGAUGAUCUCAUGGCUGCAGACUAGCCCCUCGCAAGCCAACUCGACUCCCGCGGGCGCUCGGUUCUCCAGCUCCGCGUCUCCCCCUUCUCACCGCUUAUUUUUCAGCCGUGCUCUCGCUUCUGCGCAGCUUGCUCUAGGUGACGGUUCCAGGGAGAGGCCUAGUCUGGGGAAGGAGUGCUGAAGAGGAGUCCCGAGGUUUGGGCUGAGUAGCGGGGUACCGAGGAGAACGCUGACGCCAGGGGGCCAGGUCACGUCCUAGCGGGUCCCAGCUUCCUCCCCACGCCCACCUCCUCAGCCCGGGAGUCCCCGGGGGCGUGCGCAGGGAGGGGGUGUGCAGACGCGGGCGUGUCUGUGAGCUGGAAGCGGCUUUGACAUUGAACACUAGCUCCGGUGUGUGCGUGUGUGUGCGUGCGUGUGUACACGCGCGUAUCUGCGUGUGUGAGAGUCGUGGGGAGGGGGCCGGGCUAGAAGCUGCAGCAAACCACAGCCCUUCUUGGUGCAGCGCAGAGCGCGCUCCCGAACCGCCACCCGCACGGGCUGUGAGCUCUGAAGCCAUUCAUGAUUUUGGUGACGUUAUUCCAGAAGUGGGCGAGGGAAGGCGGGGCUUCCAGGGGACAAGCCCCGCCUCCACCACUAUAAAUACUGCUUCGCCGGCUCUUUGUGGGGCCGGGAGCUCGGUGGAGAGUUGUGUUCUCUGUCUGCUCUGCAGACGCCGCUGGCUGUGGGGUUGUCGCGGGAAGGCGGACUGGCGAACGUCCAGUGCCCGCACUCGGCCGCCUGCCUACCUCCCUGUCUGCCGUGCGUCUUUCUGCGCCCGUGUCAUCCUUGCUUGGGACGCGGUGACCGUUUUUAAAUCACAAAGGCGUGGGUCAGCCUCCCCUAGGACUUCAUGUCUGUAUAUUUCCCCAUUCACUGGUGAGUAUCCUGCGCCCUUGGUGGAUGUCCGUCUCGCGGCCGUGGGUGCCUGUCCCGGCGGGCGCCUACUCGAGCCGGCUCAGGGUGCGAGCGAAGCCGGCGGCGCCGACGCCCAACGCUAACCCGCAGCCCGAGCCGGUGCAGGAGUCAAUGUCAAGGUUGCAACGGUGGGGGUGGGGGAAGUGGUGCUAAGAACAUCCAGACAAAGGAAGUGAACUUGGAGCCCUCACCCGAGUGACGGCCGGAGGAUGUGAAUGUGGGGUGGGAGGGUGGAUGGAGAACCAGAGGUCACGCCGGAAGCCCCGCCGUAAGUCCCCUAAUGCGGAGGGCUGCCAGAGGCGCGCGCCCUGCCUGCUUUGGGGGCCCUUGCUCUCCCCCGGCCCCUCCCCUUUUUCUUUUUGUUUGCAAGCAAGUCUCGACGUCCAGGCCGGUGGAGCUGGUGCAGCAGCGCCGUUUGCAGAGCUUCAGGGGGUGGGGAAAGAAGCGAUCUCACACAUAAAGCCACUAGCGGCAGGGUACACGCUGCCCUCUUUCGACCCCUUCCCUCUCCAUAGUCCUAAAAAAAAAAAAAAAAAAAAAAAUCGAGUCGUCUUUGCAGGGGGCCUAAAGAGAAGUCGCCCUCGCAGUGCCGGGCUGGAAGGAGCCUGGGCCGGGCGGGGGCGGCGGAGGCUUGUAUCCCGCCUGGGGAUCCGGACCGAGAGCGAUGCGCCGCGGGCGCGGCUCUAGACGCGGAGCAAGGCCCCCGCGCCGGGGAAAAGAAGGAGCGGCCCGGGGCGAGCGCUGGCAGCCCCGGAGCGCGCUUCCAGGUGAGGGGGUGGACAACCCAGCCCCGGCGGGAGAGGCAGGCGCCGAGCGAGAGGCAAGCAUCCGCGCGAUCUUGCUCAGGCCCGCAACCGGAAAGUUCACUGUUUCUCACCUCAGCUCUUCGGGUCCGCACCACAGCCCGAAGCGAGGAGACAGCGCCCUUACACCAGGCGAGGAGCCUGGCGAGCGCCCCGUGGUGGCUCCUCUGGCCCAUUUCUUUGGGAGCCGAAGGUAGAUUUUGCAUGACUCGGGAAGAAACUCCCGUUCCCGCCACCCCUGUGGUGUGUGAGAGGCCAGAUGACCUGUGGGUGAGGUUUUGAAGACUGCUGGAGGUGUCUAUGCCCCUGGCCACUCAAAGUCGGCCAAGGGUAGACAGAUGCCCAUCAGUGUAUUAUCCCCUGAGAAAUUGAGGGUUAGGAUUAUUUUAUAGCUGAUUAAUACUUCCUAGUUAGUAACUCCCCCCCCCCCAGGUAUUAACUAUUAUACAUAAUGGUGAGGUAAGCAUCAUCAGCAUCAUAGUAACAGAGGAACAGGACACCUGUGGCUCAGAGAGGUUCUAUGACUUGUUCAAGAUAACACAGUCGUUAGUGGCAGAGCCUAGACUAGAACACAUUGCUUGUUUCCAGUCCAGUGACAUUUCUACUCUAUGUAGUAACAAAAUGAAGAGGAGUCUGGUGCACCUGUUUCCCUCUAAAGCCUGGUCCUCAUUUUUUUUUUUUUAAUUCAUGUGUAAAGGUAUGAUGGUGGAAAUACUAGGUGUUGUGUAGAGGGUCCGUGGACUUUGGUGUGUACUAUUUGGUAUUAUGCGUACAGGACCCUGUGUGGGCUCAUGGCUUGUGUAAGGAUGUGGGAGGAUAAUGGAACGUUUGUAUCCUGCUUAUAGAAUACAAAGCACUUUCACAUGUCAGCCAUUGGUGGACCAGCUUGGCCCCUCUGGAAAUUUCCUUUGCAAUCGGAGCCCUGGUAUCCCUAAGGGUUUUAAUCCAGGGGAUGUUUCUCAAGCUGUGAGUUUGCAGCUGCUGUGGCUGGAGCUGGAGAAUGGGGUUGGAUGGCACAUGUGAAGCCUGCAGAGGUGACCCUUUGGGUUUAAGUGGGACAUUUUUGCAAAGAAGAGCACCAGAGAAAUAGGGAAAAAUGUAGGAGGACAGCGUGAUUGGACUUGAUUCCCUGAGGUUGACCUGUUACUGUUAUUAUAUAAUAAUAAUAUGUGUGUUAUUAUUUGAUAAUAAUAUGCAGUUCGUCUUUGGACAAAAUUCAUGUGAGGAUAAUUUUUUUUUUUUAUCUUUUAUCCAGGAGGGAUACAGGGAGACUUGGUUGAAUUGGUUUCAAUUUAGACAGAUGGAUUCAGCUACUUACUUUUUUUUUUUUUCUAGUUCUGUCAUUUAUAAAGAAAAUCCGGAGUUGCUUCUGUGCUUCUAGAAGCAGAAGCAGUGGGUUCUAAUCUGAUGGAUAAAUAGGAGAGGAGAGGAGCAGAGGUUUGCUAGAGAGAUUUUCAGACAAUGGCCUUUGUUGGUUGAGGUUGAAAACCCGGACCUGUGGGCUUAUGAGGCACUUUUUCAGGUUAUGAGCUUGUUUUUCUGCGAGUUCUGUUUUGAACACUUCUCAUCCUGUCUCCAGACAGUCCCCUGAUCUAACAACAACGGAUGUACUGAGAGUGGGAACGUGAAAUUGCGUGUCUUUGUUGACAUUUGGUCUGGGUUUCUUGGCAGCCCUGACUAUCUGAGAUCUGCUGAAAUGACUGAGGUGAUGAUGAACACCCCAUCCAUGGAGGAGAUUGGACUCAACCCCCGAAAGGGUGGCCUUUCCUAUCAGUAUUGCCUUUCAGUUCCUCUCCGUGAGUGAAGUGAGAGCUGGCCGACAAUCAGCUUUUACGCUAGAGCAAAAAGUCUGCUGACUGAUUCCUCAUCUCCGGAUGCUCAACCUCAACCCCAGAAUUCUCUGCUCUGAGGCCUCCUGUGUUGAACGGUCAACCGAACAUCCUGCAUUCACCUGGACAGUCCUGCUUUCAUUGUCCUUAUGUGGACCAUCUAUACCUGUGAUGUCCAGUGACACCACACGUGGUUAUGUAAAGUUAUGGUAAAUUCGUAUUUAUUUAUAUUAUCUAUAUUUUUAUUAACAAAAAUUAAAUGAAAUGUAAAAGUUUAGCCACAUUUCAACUGCUCAAUAGCUACAUGUGGCUAGUGGCUGCUGCAUUGGACAGCGUGAAUGAAGAACAUUUCCAUCAUUGCAGAAAGUUCUAUUGAACAGUGCUGAUCUGUAAAUAGCCAAUAAUUUCAGGGUUUCGGCAGCAACCUACAUCUCACAGAUGUUUCUGUCACCUAGAAGGUCCUAAAGGUUUUCUUAACCUUUCAAGGGAAUCCAUUGGAGGUCCUGAAACAUUGGAACCUGUUGGGAUUAGAGGCUACUUGGCAAAGGAUGCCUCUGAGGAAGUGUCCCCUGUAAAACUCACCGUUACCAAGUUCGAAUGUCUACUAUCCCUAAACAGUGGGACCUGGGCUGUUCUUAAUUGUGUGAUCUCUGACUUCAUUUUGUUUGUGAAGGAGGGAACUUGGUGUUCUUUUCAGAGGCAGCCACAGUUUCACCCAGGCCAUCAGCCCUGACACCUGGGUCUGAGAGCUGGCUGUGGAGUACAGUGUUGGCAGCAAGAGGGAAGGUGCAGGGCUGAGAGAAUCCCAGCUAGAAAAGGAUGCUUCUAGAUAUGCCCGUCCCUGGGGCUGAGGGUGGGAAAUGCCUCUCAGAGCUUCCCCAUCUUCUUUUCCGGUCCUCUCUUACUUGGAGAGGAACCUUUAUUGCAGAGGGAAGGGAAAGGGUUAUUGACUUGCCUCAGUCCAGAGAGAAGGGGCACUUUGGGGUAAGAAGUUUAACCAGAAGCAGUUUCUUUUUGGAACAGGGGCAGCUCUUUAUUCCCUGCCGGUUCCUGCAGGCAAACAGCACUGCAGGCUGGCCUGCCACUUCAGCUCUACCUGUCAUGUGCUUGGCGAGUCCAACCUGAGGCCUUUUUUCCACUGCCUUCUCCACCCUGUCAAUUGCAGUUUGCAACCUCUCAUUUUUCUGCUGCCUAGAUGAUUAAACAGCACUGAGUACUGAGUUAGAUGAUUAAAAAGCAUGACUUAGUGGAAAAAUCUUGACCUCCCUAGGGUCAGCCUCUUAAGCAGCUGUUGGAGAUAAGAUUGUGUUGGCAAAAUACUCAACACUUAGCAAAGCUUUCUGUCUGUAAGGAAAUGAGACGCUGUUUGGUUCUGGGUGCUUUUUUGUUUUUUGGAGGGAGCUGCAGUUUUCAGAAGCAUAAAUUGGUAUAAUCUGAUAAUAAGAUAAAAUCUCUGAUGGAAGGGUUAGGUGAAUUAUUAUAGUGAUUUUUAAAAAUACAAUUAACAGGCUUUGUAGUUUUUGUUUUCGUUUUUUUAAUGGUACCUGCUUUGAGCAACUCAGGGAGCAAAGUUCUCUGGCAACUAAGCAGUAUCAAUGCUCAGACUUCCCCAAGGACUUGAAAGACUUAAUUGCGCAGCUCCUGAUAUAAAAGGCAUUGUUUGCAGUUUUUUUUUUGCAGUUUUUUUAAUUACUGUGUUGGUAUUAUUGCCUCUUCCUUGGAGAUUGGAUACUUACUGUAGCCCUGUUGAAAUUGCUCCAAAGAAGACUUUACAAUUUGGAUUUAGCAUAUGUCAUCAAAGCACUUUACCAUCUUUGUGUUUGCCAAGAGUUGUACCCAUCUAGUGAGACAAGAAAGUUUUACUUCACUUCUCAAAAGGAGAACCUAAGGCAUGGGGGCGCUGAGGGGACUUGAUUGGGGAUAUAUAAAUGAUAUAAAGGACAUAAUCAGAAUCUGGGCUCUGUGGCUUCGCCCAGUAUGUUACCAAUGGAACACCUCAUUUGAAUUCCUUCAGGGCUGUGUUUGAAUCCUAGUUCAGCCAAUUCCUAGCUGUGUGGCCUUGAGCAAGUCACUUGCCCUUUCUGUGCUUCAGUUUCCUCAUCUUUAAAAUAGGGGUAAUACUGCUAGAUACUUCAUAGGAUUAUUGGGAAGAUUAAUGGAGAUUCUGCUCAGGAAAUGUGCCUGGCAUAUCAUCAUUAUGUUAAUUUUCCCCCUAAUUUUAGUUGUAGAACUAUUUCCAACUUGAAGCAAAAUCAGGUGCUCUCUACCCACUCCCUCUUCUGCUGGCCUUGCCCGCCUUCUGUCCCCUUUGCUCUUCCUUGGCUUGGGUGAUCAUAAUUAGAGCCCGGUGGCCACCUCUCCCAGCUGAGGAGACAUGGCCAUGUCUUAGGGGAUGCCUAGCCCUGGGAUUGACUUAUGAGGUCAGGAGGUAGAGGAUUAGGGCUCAGGGUCUGAGCUUGAUAUUUCACAGCAGUCUCAGGUCCUAAAGGUUUAGAACAACUGUCCAGACUGGGAAGUCCAUUUUAUGGACCUGGCUGUCCAGACGGUCAUCCCAGAGCCUGACCUGGGGCCUCCAGCACCUGAAUGGGCAGUCAAGGCCGAGUCCUGCUUGCUUUCCCUGAUCAGUUUUUCCAUCUGUGAAGUGGGGGUGUUGGCAUAGUGACACCGUAGUUAAUUUUCCAAAAGGCACAGGUGCUGGAAACAGUAGGUCCAAGUUCAAAUCCUGGAGUCACAGUGUCUUACUGCUCCUUGGAAGUUGGAAGCCUAAACAAGGUGUCUGAAAGGUCUUUGUACACAGUAGCAUACCCUCCAUUCUUUGGGGUUCCCCUGGCUCCCUCCCAAAGCUCAUGCUAGUCAUACAUUUGUGCCCUCACCACCAGGGAGGGGCUCCAAGCUCCACAUGAGGAACAGUGAGGAAGGGCCAAAAGGAGUUACCUGACUCCCUCCACCUUAGCACACACAGGCCUAUGUGCGCAGGAGAGUCAGAGGGCAACAUUUCAGGGUUGGCGGGUCAUGAAGAGUGCCUUGAGUUCGGGUCAGCUGCCCAUAGCCCCUUUGACUCACUCUAGUACAGCUCCUCCCUGUUUUGUUUUUCUCCUGGCUGCCAUUACGAUACCUUUUAUGGGACUUACUAAGUCUUUAAUUAUGCCUAGUUGUGCAGAUGGCUUAAGACUUAAUCCCCAGCAAUAGAUCUUUAUUGGAUAAGUGGGUAAUAAUCACUUGUCUGGAGGGAUUGGGAAGGCUUCAUUGAGGUUCAUGAUACGCAGAAGUACCACAUGGUUGUGACGUGAUCAGAGCAUGACUUGGCUGGGGCAAUACUGGUUGAGGUUGGGAAGGCCGGAGUUCAUACGAGAGCUUUCUUCUACCUCCUGGGCACAGGAUACCUAGCUGCCGCCAUGUGCCUGACUGGACCCAGGCCAGGAACAGGCAGCCCCCAGUAUCUCUGCAAAUGUAAAUCUCUGUCCGGUGUAGUUUUUGCUUUCCUUUUUUUUUUUUCUUUUGCUAUUAGCAAGGCCCAUUGGGCCUUGAUUCCUCAUCUAUCAAGCGGAGAGGUUGGAAGAGGUAGCCUUGAAGGCAGAUGGCCCAAGGUGCUGUGUGAGCUCCUCUCACAGCUCUCCAGCAUGUUACCUAGUGCUGUGAAUGGCAAGGGACCAACAGCCACUGGAUUAAGUACUUAAGCUAGUGAAGAAUUGGGUCAGCUGUAGUCACAGGAUGGUGUGUGCAAAGGGAAUCCACAGACUUGACCCUUGAUUUUAUGGCCUGGCCGAGGCUUCUGCCAGCUCUGGGCAAGGCAUACAGUAGGCAUAGAAAAUGAAGCCUGUUAAUGGGACUCUGGAAAGAGAAGUAGACUUGGAUACAGAUUCAUCAAGGUAGUCAGGGGUUGUUCACAUAUAAUAAAGGAGCCUUGGAUUUAGUUUCCAGCUUGCCAGAGACUGGGGCCAUGCCCUUAAUCCCAGUUUGGCUUUUAGAGUUGCUUUGGGAUCAGGACUACUUGAGGGGCAGGGUGGUAUUGGGGCAUGGGCUUAGGAAUCACACAGACCUGGGUUUGAAUCUCAUUCCACCCUCACUCAUUUAUAGGUUGUAUGAUCUUGGACAGAGCCCUGGUGGCAUAGUGGUUAAGAGCUACACCUCAUAACCAAAAGGUCAGCAGUUCGAAUCCACCAGCUGCUCCUUGGAAACCCUAUCGGGCAGUUAUACUUUGUCCUACAGGGUCGCUAUGAGUUGGAAUUGACUUGAUGGCAGUGGAUAUGGUCUUACAACCUAAUUCUCCAACCUUGCAAUUCUUUAAGAUGAUGUUGGCAGUACCUAUUUUUCAGCAUGGCUGCCUUGGUUCAAAAUUAUAUUUGUAGAGCACCUGGUGCCCUGCUCACACUAGGUGCCAGUGAUUAUUCUGGGAGGAAUUUAAUACCUUGGUGCCUAUUGUAUACUUUGGACCAUUGGAGUAAAAUGCUGGCUGCAAAUAAACUAAGAAACCAAACCCACUGCCAUUAUUGAUGCUGUUGAUUUCAACUCAUAGCAACCUUAUAAGUCAGAGCAGAACUGCCCCAUCAGGUUUCCAAGGCUGUAAAUCUUUAUGGAAGCAGACUGCCACACCUUUCUCCCGCAGAGCAGCUGGUGAGUUCAAACUGCUGACCUUUCAGUCGGCAGCAGAGUCGUUUAACCAUUGUGCCACCAGGGCUCCUCCUUGCUGCAAAUAGACAUGACUAACUGUGGAGGACAUGAUUUGGAAUUCUUUUAUCUGAAAGUAAAGCAAAAAGGAUAAAAACAGAGCUAUACCACUUUUUAGACUCAGUGGCACUGCCCCUGGAACUUUCAGCUUCGAGAUUAGAAUCAAAGUCUGGCCCAGAAUUUGCUCAUGAGCGUUAGACAGAAGGCCACUGCUUCAUGCCCCACAGAAUCCUGAGGACUGAGCACAGCUCCUGACACAUGACAGGCGCUCAGUACUCCACGUUUAUGUGAAACAAAAGAACUGAAUUUGUCUUUCCAAAUGUGUGAGUCCCUGGGCGAUGCAAACAGUUAAUGCACUUGACCGCUAACCAAAAGGUUGGUGGUUUGAGUCCACCCAGAGAAGCCUUGGAAGAAAGGCCUGGCGAUCUACUUCUGAAAAAUCAGCCAUUGAAAACCCUGUGGAGCACAGUUCUACUCUGGUACACAUGGGGUCGCCAUGAGUAGGAGUUGACGCCACAGCAACUGGCUUUUUUCCUAAAUGUUUACUUGACCAGGGCUCCCUGUGCUUUUA